Molecule: ribosomal RNA, 496 nt
Filed under: uncultured Glomeromycotina
Lineage: Eukaryota; Fungi; Glomeromycota
Description: partial small subunit ribosomal RNA
Rfam family: Eukaryotic small subunit ribosomal RNA
Source: RNAcentral
CCAAUAGCGUAUAUUCAAGUUGUUGCAGUUAAAAAGCUCGUAGUUGAAUUUCGGGGUUCCACCGUUGGCCAGGCUAUUGUUUGUACUGGCGUGUAGAAUUUCUACCUUCUGGGGAACUAUCAUGUUACUAAUUUAGCGUGGUAGGAAACCAGGCCCUUUACCUUGAAAACAUUAGAGUGUUCAAAGCAGGCUUAUGUCUGAAUACAUUAGCAUGGAAUCAUAAAAUAGGACGGUGGUCCUGUUUUGUUGGUUUCUGAAUCACCGUAAUGAUUAAUAGGGAUAGUUGGGGGCAUUAGUAUUCAAUCGUCAGAGGUGAAAUUCUUGGAUUUAUUGAAGACUAACUACUGCGAAAGCAUUUGCCAAGGAUGUUUUCAUUAAUCAAGAACGAAAGUUAGGGGAUCGAAGACGAUCAGAUACCGUCGUAGUCUUAACCAUAAACUAUGCCGACUAGGGAUCGGACGAUGUUAACUUUUCUUGACUCGUUCGGCGCCUUACG